RNAcentral lists this ribosomal RNA (2516 nucleotides) under Escherichia coli. Its description in RNAcentral is "partial 23S ribosomal RNA". It matches the Rfam family "Bacterial large subunit ribosomal RNA", at positions 418 to 2915 of the family's 2925-position model. Lineage: Bacteria; Pseudomonadati; Pseudomonadota; Gammaproteobacteria; Enterobacterales; Enterobacteriaceae. The record is from RNAcentral.
CGGGACACGUGGUAUCCUGUCUGAAUAUGGGGGGACCAUCCUCCAAGGCUAAAUACUCCUGACUGACCGAUAGUGAACCAGUACCGUGAGGGAAAGGCGAAAAGAACCCCGGCGAGGGGAGUGAAAAAGAACCUGAAACCGUGUACGUACAAGCAGUGGGAGCCUCUUUAUGGGGUGACUGCGUACCUUUUGUAUAAUGGGUCAGCGACUUAUAUUCUGUAGCAAGGUUAACCGAAUAGGGGAGCCGAAGGGAAACCGAGUCUUAACUGGGCGUUAAGUUGCAGGGUAUAGACCCGAAACCCGGUGAUCUAGCCAUGGGCAGGUUGAAGGUUGGGUAACACUAACUGGAGGACCGAACCGACUAAUGUUGAAAAAUUAGCGGAUGACUUGUGGCUGGGGGUGAAAGGCCAAUCAAACCGGGAGAUAGCUGGUUCUCCCCGAAAGCUAUUUAGGUAGCGCCUCGUGAAUUCAUCUCCGGGGGUAGAGCACUGUUUCGGCAAGGGGGUCAUCCCGACUUACCAACCCGAUGCAAACUGCGAAUACCGGAGAAUGUUAUCACGGGAGACACACGGCGGGUGCUAACGUCCGUCGUGAAGAGGGAAACAACCCAGACCGCCAGCUAAGGUCCCAAAGUCAUGGUUAAGUGGGAAACGAUGUGGGAAGGCCCAGACAGCCAGGAUGUUGGCUUAGAAGCAGCCAUCAUUUAAAGAAAGCGUAAUAGCUCACUGGUCGAGUCGGCCUGCGCGGAAGAUGUAACGGGGCUAAACCAUGCACCGAAGCUGCGGCAGCGACGCUUAUGCGUUGUUGGGUAGGGGAGCGUUCUGUAAGCCUGUGAAGGUGUGCUGUGAGGCAUGCUGGAGGUAUCAGAAGUGCGAAUGCUGACAUAAGUAACGAUAAAGCGGGUGAAAAGCCCGCUCGCCGGAAGACCAAGGGUUCCUGUCCAACGUUAAUCGGGGCAGGGUGAGUCGACCCCUAAGGCGAGGCCGAAAGGCGUAGUCGAUGGGAAACAGGUUAAUAUUCCUGUACUUGGUGUUACUGCGAAGGGGGGACGGAGAAGGCUAUGUUGGCCGGGCGACGGUUGUCCCGGUUUAAGCGUGUAGGCUGGUUUUCCAGGCAAAUCCGGAAAAUCAAGGCUGAGGCGUGAUGACGAGGCACUACGGUGCUGAAGCAACAAAUGCCCUGCUUCCAGGAAAAGCCUCUAAGCAUCAGGUAACAUCAAAUCGUACCCCAAACCGACACAGGUGGUCAGGUAGAGAAUACCAAGGCGCUUGAGAGAACUCGGGUGAAGGAACUAGGCAAAAUGGUGCCGUAACUUCGGGAGAAGGCACGCUGAUAUGUAGGUGAAGUCCCUCGCGGAUGGAGCUGAAAUCAGUCGAAGAUACCAGCUGGCUGCAACUGUUUAUUAAAAACACAGCACUGUGCAAACACGAAAGUGGACGUAUACGGUGUGACGCCUGCCCGGUGCCGGAAGGUUAAUUGAUGGGGUCAGCGCAAGCGAAGCUCUUGAUCGAAGCCCCGGUAAACGGCGGCCGUAACUAUAACGGUCCUAAGGUAGCGAAAUUCCUUGUCGGGUAAGUUCCGACCUGCACGAAUGGCGUAAUGAUGGCCAGGCUGUCUCCACCCGAGACUCAGUGAAAUUGAACUCGCUGUGAAGAUGCAGUGUACCCGCGGCAAGACGGAAAGACCCCGUGAACCUUUACUAUAGCUUGACACUGAACAUUGAGCCUUGAUGUGUAGGAUAGGUGGGAGGCUUUGAAGUGUGGACGCCAGUCUGCAUGGAGCCGACCUUGAAAUACCACCCUUUAAUGUUUGAUGUUCUAACGUUGACCCGUAAUCCGGGUUGCGGACAGUGUCUGGUGGGUAGUUUGACUGGGGCGGUCUCCUCCUAAAGAGUAACGGAGGAGCACGAAGGUUGGCUAAUCCUGGUCGGACAUCAGGAGGUUAGUGCAAUGGCAUAAGCCAGCUUGACUGCGAGCGUGACGGCGCGAGCAGGUGCGAAAGCAGGUCAUAGUGAUCCGGUGGUUCUGAAUGGAAGGGCCAUCGCUCAACGGAUAAAAGGUACUCCGGGGAUAACAGGCUGAUACCGCCCAAGAGUUCAUAUCGACGGCGGUGUUUGGCACCUCGAUGUCGGCUCAUCACAUCCUGGGGCUGAAGUAGGUCCCAAGGGUAUGGCUGUUCGCCAUUUAAAGUGGUACGCGAGCUGGGUUUAGAACGUCGUGAGACAGUUCGGUCCCUAUCUGCCGUGGGCGCUGGAGAACUGAGGGGGGCUGCUCCUAGUACGAGAGGACCGGAGUGGACGCAUCACUGGUGUUCGGGUUGUCAUGCCAAUGGCACUGCCCGGUAGCUAAAUGCGGAAGAGAUAAGUGCUGAAAGCAUCUAAGCACGAAACUUGCCCCGAGAUGAGUUCUCCCUGACCCUUUAAGGGUCCUGAAGGAACGUUGAAGACGACGACGUUGAUAGGCCGGGUGUGUAAGCGCAGCGAUGCGUUGAGCUAACCGGUACUAAUGAACCGUGAG